RNAcentral lists this unclassified non-coding RNA (400 nucleotides) under uncultured Ascomycota. Its description in RNAcentral is "sequence contains ITS2". The record is from RNAcentral. Lineage: Eukaryota; Fungi; Ascomycota.
AACUUUCGGCAAUGGAUCACUACCGACACGCCAUUCGCUAUUUUGGUCUGUGGGCACCACGGUCAAAGGGGAAGACCUCUGCCGCCAUCUUUGCUUUAUUGAGACAGACGCAACGUUCGCGGCCCCGCCGUAGAAGCUGGAGAUACUCACUGCUGAGAUAUUUCGGGAAUGAUCCGCUGAUCGACAGCCGCGACCAGCAGAUGCACUGGGUCCGACGACUGCCACCUUAUCGUUCUCGCGGACCGGGAUGAAGGAAAUGGACAAUGAGGAUAAACGGAUGAGAUGGCUGCCGCACGUGCCGCCGCGCGGGCUUUUAGAUUCCAACUCGUACUCAUCCAAACGCUCAGGGGCGAGAAGGAGAACAAAGUAAUGGAUUUAAGCAUAUCAAUAAGCGGAGGCU